RNAcentral lists this transfer RNA (84 nucleotides) under Scleropages formosus (Asian bonytongue). RNAcentral's name for it is "tRNA-Leu". It matches the Rfam family "tRNA". From Rfam's summary of the family: Transfer RNA (tRNA) molecules are approximately 80 nucleotides in length. Their secondary structure includes four short double-helical elements and three loops (D, anti-codon, and T loops). The record is from RNAcentral. Lineage: Eukaryota; Metazoa; Chordata; Actinopteri; Osteoglossiformes; Osteoglossidae.
GUCAGGGUGGCUGAGUGGUCUAAAGUGCCAGACUCAAGUUCUGGUCUCUGAAUAGAGGCAUGGGUUUGAAUUCCAUUCCUGACA